GCCAUUUCUUUUGUUUUUCCAAUUGGACCAGAGGCAGAUGAAUUGACUUGCUCAGCGUCACACAGGUGUCAGUAGUGGGAUCUGAACCCACAGCCUCGGGGGUUUUGAAGGAGGCCAAAGUCUUAACCACUACACCCUACUGCCUAGUAUUCCUUACAGUUCUUCAUCCUCUUCUUCUUUAUCUUUUACUUCUUCUUAUUUUUAUU
This is a long non-coding RNA of Erpetoichthys calabaricus (reedfish), 206 nucleotides long. RefSeq lists it as uncharacterized. The record is from RefSeq and is a predicted model, not a curated record. NCBI's taxonomy places the organism in Eukaryota, Metazoa, Chordata, Cladistia, Polypteriformes, Polypteridae. The transcript is spliced from 3 exons.